CCGAAAAAUCCAAAUUAAAUUCCGUGGAUUUUUAGAAAUGAUUUCACGAUAGUGGGAGCGAGUACGAGGCUCGGAGAAGUUGUGGAAUUAGUUCGAACGAUUAAUUUUCGAAAAAACGAACGUUAUUUAGGGGCUCGCGAAAGUUGACUUUUUAUACGUUCAAAAUUUGGGAAAACUUUCUUCAUGAAAGUUGUAGAGCUCGUCGAUACGAUCGCGUGCAUAUGUGGAACGCAAAAAUCGGAGUUCGUAUGAAUUAGUUAUGAUUUUUUGAAAAAGUUUCCAAUUUAGUAUAAAGCUUCCAUUUUUGGAAAUUUCCAAAAAUAAAAACAGAUUUUUCCAAAAUUGGAAAAUCUGCUGCGAUUUUAGUUCCCCGCCGGAAAUCGCCUCCAAAACUUCGAUCGACGAUUUCUUCCUCCUCCGGCCACCGAUCCUCACCAAACUUCUUCCAUUGGCUUCGUAUGGUCCUUGCGCACCUGUCUGUGGCAGCCUUUCACGGCGGCGCGGCCUGUAGCGGCGGCGACAAGCCCGGUCCGAUUUAAGCUCGAUUUUGGUCAACGCCGGUUUUCUCCUAGCUCCGGCCACCAAAACUUCCGAUCCUUGGCUUCAUGAACUCCCCUCAACCUGCUGAUCAUCAUACUAGGAGGAUUGCACCUAGAGUGACCGGUUUCACGUUCGUCGGAGCUCGUGGGUUCCCCUUGAUGUUAUUAACAACUCUCUAGAAGGCAUCGCGGCCUGAAAUUGAAGCUUUGACGUCGAAAUCGAGCCUUGCCUGAUUCUGCAAAAUUCUGGAAUUUUUCCGACCACCGAAGCUUUCGAUCGGUAUAUCUCGAGCUACAGACCAUAUUUUUCUGUGAUUCUUGAACCAGUGAGUUCUUCUUGAGUUUCUUAACAACUCUUCAGAAGGAAUCGAAGCCUUAAAUUGACGUUUUUACGUCGAAUUGGAGCUCGCCGUUUUCUGCAGUUUCUCGCCGGUUUCUGGAAAAUUCCGGCCACCUUCAUACUGUUCAAGGUGAUUGACGGUUUAAGUUGGUGGACGAUUGUGGAUCGUAUUCUGAGCUGUUGAGAAGACGCAGCGGGAUUAGAGCGGGUAAUCCUACAGGACAGGAGAACCAGGACGGUGAUC
Molecule: long non-coding RNA, 1123 nt
Organism: Rosa rugosa (rugosa rose)
Lineage: Eukaryota; Viridiplantae; Streptophyta; Magnoliopsida; Rosales; Rosaceae
Exons: 4
Source: RefSeq, a predicted model, not a curated record